GGCCAUUGGUAGAAUUUGAAAGGAAAUCCAGCUCUGUGAUUGGUCCGCCAUCCUGUCUAUCUUGAUUUGGAACGUUUUGCCAGACUUCAGUGAGAGAAAUCUUUCUGGCUUCUGUAGGAGAAUAGCCAGGGAUCCUAUCAAAGAAACAUUAUGGUCCUUUCAGAUUCAGAAGGUUACCAUCUUCUUCAGCUCUUCACAGUUAGAAUAAUCAUCUUCAUAUCCACAACUAUUGGCUGAAAUAAAGAACAAAAACAUCCCUUAGUUCAUUAUUAUUUUCCUCUGUUAAUUGUAACAAAAUAAAACUUAUAUGAAUUGGAACAAGGGAAUUGAACAAAUUAAUGGAUAUCUUUUAGACUGUAGCUUUGUCUAAUUGAUUGACUUCUUCACUCACAAAAGCUUAAGAAAAUUAAAUGGAGUGGUUUUUUUGUAAAACCGGACUAUCUAGUUGUUGUAAAGGUGGCUUAUUGAUUAGGAGCCUUUGAUAUUCUUGUGGAGAACCUGCUUUUUGUGUUCACUGUCCACAUGGAAGCUUAUGGCCACCUGCGACUUCAGUUCCAAUGCUUGUUUCUGUUCUCCAGGGUUAAAAAGCACAGUGGUACACAUAAAUACAUGCACAUAAAUGCAACCAAAUAUUCAUAAUAUGAAAUAAAAAUAAGUAUUAAAAAAGAACUUCACUACAAUGGUAGUUAUUAUGCAAGUGCUUUUAAUCUUUAAUAUGGCUAAUAUUUAAACUUUGUAUUCUCAGCAAAACAAGUUUCAUUAAAAUGUUCUAUA
Long non-coding RNA from Mastomys coucha (southern multimammate mouse), 774 nucleotides. RefSeq lists it as uncharacterized. The transcript is spliced from 3 exons. The record is from RefSeq and is a predicted model, not a curated record. Lineage: Eukaryota; Metazoa; Chordata; Mammalia; Rodentia; Muridae.